GCAUGGGGAAGGUGUGAUACAUCUACGGUCCUUUUUUGGUUCCUCCGCCGACCACUGUGAGCAACGUAUAGGCAACAAAGAAUAAAUGUUUCGUGGCGAACAACACAGUUUCACAAUCAAACGGGUGCAUUUGAAGGAUUGGUGUGGGAAGAGAUUGAACUGCAAAACAUUUCGCAAACACGAUGGCACACCAAGCCGGCACCACCGUCCAAUACAGUCAAAGGCACAUUGGCUUUGAAAACCAGUUUUGCAUCAUAUAUUUAUGCAUUCCCCGUGCCUUCACGUGUCUCUUCUAACCGAGCCCAAUAGCCUCCCUCUACCACCACCAGGCCGAGUAGUCCCAAAUCCAAAACCAGUCGUGUAGAUAUGGCUGACCACCAUAUCUUCAACUGAAUGCCGCCCGUCGAUUGCUUCCCCCCAACGAUCAUGUCGACCCGCUCUCUUUCUGACACCUUCCGAUUUAUCAUCCAUACGCCUCAAAGGUGCGUCCUUAGCGUGCAAAUGGAAUCGCGAAACACUUGCGCGCUCGAUCACUUGCUCUCGCCUCCGGCGGCGGCAAAUCUUGUUUUCGAUCGUGGUGUGUCAUUCGAACAUUGGUCAGCUUCGGGCAUGAUGACGUUUACAUCUGGUGGUGGUGGGUAGCGUUAUUUUGUUUAUUUUCGUUACCCAGUGCAAUAAAACAUUCGGUCAUGGUCGUGUCGUACGCUCUCCGAUCGAACUAUCCCACCAUCGUGACACGCUGUUUAACCUCCUAGAAGGUCAUCGUUAGUCAAUAACACAUUAUUUUGUUACAUUCUAAACAUCACUUUAAAGUGUAUUCAUUGCCAUUUGAAUCCUGUGGAUUGUGUUUCUUUUGUCGAAUUCAAAAUUAAGAAUCUCCAAAGUAUUUCAAUUUGUGAACAAGGUUAGCCUCAUGCGAGAACGAACCGUAAACUAGAGAUGAGAAUUUUGAUCCGCACCUACUGGGGUCGUUGUGUUAAUUGGAUAAAUUAGAAAUCCUAGGAA
This is a long non-coding RNA of Anopheles merus, 1005 nucleotides long. RefSeq lists it as uncharacterized. NCBI's taxonomy places the organism in Eukaryota, Metazoa, Arthropoda, Insecta, Diptera, Culicidae. The transcript has 3 exons. The record is from RefSeq and is a predicted model, not a curated record.